Molecule: ribosomal RNA, 465 nt
Filed under: Vreelandella stevensii
Lineage: Bacteria; Pseudomonadati; Pseudomonadota; Gammaproteobacteria; Oceanospirillales; Halomonadaceae
Description: partial 16S ribosomal RNA
Rfam family: Bacterial small subunit ribosomal RNA
Source: RNAcentral
CCUACGGGGAGCUGCAGUGGGGAAUAUUGGACAAUGGGCGAAAGCCUGAUCCAGCCAUGCCGCGUGUGUGAAGAAGGCCUUCGGGUUGUAAAGCACUUUCAGUGGGGAAGAAAGCCUUGGGGCUAAUACCCUCGAGGAAGGACAUCACCCACAGAAGAAGCACCGGCUAACUCCGUGCCAGCAGCCGCGGUAAUACGGAGGGUGCGAGCGUUAAUCGGAAUUACUGGGCGUAAAGCGCGCGUAGGCGGUCUGAUAAGCCGGUUGUGAAAGCCCCGGGCUCAACCUGGGAACGGCAUCCGGAACUGUCAGGCUAGAGUGCAGGAGAGGAAGGUAGAAUUCCCGGUGGAGCGGUGAAAUGCGUAGAGAUCGGGAGGAAUACCAGUGGCGAAGGCGGCCUUCUGGACUGACACUGACGCUGAGGUGCGAAAGCGUGGGUAGCAAACAGGAUUAGAUACCCUUGUAGUC